This is a long non-coding RNA of Hemicordylus capensis (graceful crag lizard), 805 nucleotides long. RefSeq lists it as uncharacterized. Lineage: Eukaryota; Metazoa; Chordata; Lepidosauria; Squamata; Cordylidae. The record is from RefSeq and is a predicted model, not a curated record. The transcript has 2 exons.
GGGACCAAGUUUUUGUUUACUUCACUCUUGUGGCCUCACGGCCGCUUCUCAGUUUCCCUGAUGCAGCCCAGUUUACUGAAAUGGUUCAGGUGGUGCACAUGACAAGCAGAAUUUGGACUCUACCGGGUACCUCCCAGAACGGAUGGGAUUUAAAAUAUAUGCAUUGUCUAUUAUUCCACAUAAGAAAUGUCCUGGCAUCUGACCACUUUGGAGGAUUUGCAGAGUGAUGAUCUCCAUUGAGGAACGGCUGAUAAACUUCCAAUAUCAGCGUUCUCUGGAACAGAGCUUGGAAACCCCUGAUCUACACUACUACAGGAAUUUAUUCUUUACCUCUGUCCGCUUCACCCCUACACUUCUUCCUUUGCAUUUGCUAUGCUAAUAUAUUUUGCAAACUCCUUUGUCUUUCCCCCCACAAUUUUUACUGGUCAAAUAUUUGUUCUGUUCCCAAAUGUUUUCCCCUAAAACCUUAUGAAAUGCUGCAACUUUGCUUUCCCAACAUACAGAGGAGGAAGACAUUUCUACUCUGUGCCCAGAGCUCAGCAUUUUCCUCCAAUCCUUUACGGAAUGGGCAUUGCCUCUUAAAAUAAGUACAAAAUUAAAAGUAUACGUUUAUAUAACCUGCACUGAUCCGUUCCCGUUUAUUUUUCUUGGAAGAGUGCCUAAACAGAUGAUGAGAUCCAAAUUUAAUAAACUUGCAACUGCUCCCCUCGCCAGAUCCAGAUUUUAUCUCUCUGUUGGAAACCAAGCUUCAUUUUAAUUUGGAUGAAAAUAAAACUCAUAAUAAUGGUGCAUGCAUCUUGCUACA